Molecule: RNase P RNA, 316 nt
Filed under: bovine gut metagenome
Also listed under: 1 other name
Description: Bacterial RNase P class B
Rfam family: Bacterial RNase P class B
About the family: Ribonuclease P (RNase P) is a ubiquitous endoribonuclease, found in archaea, bacteria and eukarya as well as chloroplasts and mitochondria.
Source: RNAcentral
AAUCGCAGCUGCUGACGUAAGUUAGAGGAAAGUCCAUGCUCGCACGGUCUGUGAUGACCGUAGUGUUUGUGCUGGAUGAAACGAUAAAUCCAGGCAGUGUUAUCACUGACGGCAACUUUAAUCCUAAGGGAAACUAUGGAAGCGAGUUAUAAAGUGCCACAGAGACGAGCCAUCUGAGAAAUCGGAUGGGUGGAACGGGUAAACCCCGCAAGCGAGAAACCCAAAUUUGGUAGGGGAGCUGGUCGGAAUGAAACGAAAGGAAGACCGGAUAGGGAAACCUAUAGAUAAAUAGCUGCAUAUACAGAACAUGGCUUAU